RNAcentral lists this long non-coding RNA (1604 nucleotides) under Aplysia californica (California sea hare). RNAcentral describes it as "uncharacterized LOC118478414". Lineage: Eukaryota; Metazoa; Mollusca; Gastropoda; Aplysiida; Aplysiidae. The record is from RNAcentral.
UGUUUCAUUGAGAAUAAUCCGGUUAUCCUUAUAUAGAUUAUCCGGAUUUUGCCCACCUCUACUCCUCAAGCAUUUCCAAUUUCCAAGUAACGCACGCGCGUUCAGUUCUGCUUAGCACGGAGGCUUUCCUCGCUGAGACAGCUCCGAUCGCUCGGAACUCGGAGGCGGGUCAGUCUUCUUAGUCAGCUGUUGUUGUUUUUGUUUCUCUGAUGAAUUCUAUAAUGGAGUGCUUCUCGCUCGUCCUUGUCCUUCUGAGGACGAGUUGGUCAUUCUAGUUUCUUGUGCCACGUCGGGAGCAAGGCAGGAGAAUUGAUGAUGAUUUAAUUAUCAUUGUUCUCAGAGAUGAUAUUAUUUUCGUUCUUUUGGAGUCGAGCUGUUGUGUGUAGCUGUGCGAUUUGGAAGCCGGGCGGGGCUGGUCUUUUUUUCACAGGUGAAAUUCUGAAAACAAUGGGGAAUCCGCAGCGCCUCGUUUAUGUCGAGAAUGCCAACGCAAAGGAUGACUCCUAACUAGAAGCGGCGACGGAAAUGUUCUGAUUACUUAGAACAAACCUUCGACGUAACUUUGGAUGUAAAUAGCCAAAACGAUUAGCAAUCUUGAAGAGCAAAAGGUCACUAAAUUGCUGUGCCUCCUGCAAUAACGGAAUAAAUAAUAAUUUGUUAGGACUUGACACAUCCACUGCUCCUUUGAGUUUUGAUGGUGGUGUGGUGACGAUAGGACAUAGGGCAGUUUUUCGUGAACUUAUCAAGAAAAUAUUUUCAUUAUCUUUUUUAUAGGAUACGCUAUUGAUAUAUGACAAAAAGAAAAUUUGCAUUGAGUGUUAGAUUUCAUGCGUUUCCUAAACUGGAUAUUUACCUGCAAAUCAGUUUAAUAAACAAUUCAUUUCACGAUUUCUAGGGAAAACGAGAAGGCAAUAAAUAAUUAUAUUCCCAGUAAUUGUUUUUUCAAACUGAAAUAAUAAUGUUUCUUGCAUCGGGGUUAAAAGAAAACACCACACUACAUCUCGAUACCCCAUUGUAUUCUCAGAGAUAAAACAGGUGAGGUUCAAACAGUAGCCACUGUGCCAUUCAGAAGGUCUCUUACGUGAUGCAAAAAUCGUAAAGUGCUUGGUUAGAUCUUCAGCUAAUGUUUCUUAUUACUCUUUAAUUGAUAAAUAUAGGCAUAGACGUAUGUAACGAUGACUGUGUUUGCUAUAUAUUCACCUUAAACACGAAAUGAUAACUUUAUUUUUUGACAGCUAUUUUGUGCAAAUAGCAACUAAGAAUCGCUAUUCGUCUCAUGUAAUUGGAUGAAUUUUAGUUUCGAAUUCAAUAUGUAAAGAUGUUAUCAGAAGGUCAAUAAGUCUUUUGGAAAAGAUUCAAGUGUUCUGCAAGGAACCAUUGAUGUGAAUGAUAUCAGCGGUGAAGUGAUUUCUUGGGAUAAGUGAAACACUUUUAUUAUAAUUAUAAGAGAAUAGUUUUCGGUAGAUUUUCGAAAAAGAAAGUGACUACUUGACGAAAUGACUUUCGACCCACUCUCAGCAAGAUCGGUACCUAAGAGCAAGUUCCAUAUCUUUUCAGUCUACUGUGUUAGAAGCCUCCCUAUUUUAGUAUGGUAAAGAAAGAUA